This 271-nucleotide ribosomal RNA is filed under the name uncultured Subdoligranulum sp. Its description in RNAcentral is "partial 16S ribosomal RNA". It matches the Rfam family "Bacterial small subunit ribosomal RNA", at positions 72 to 339 of the family's 1533-position model. Lineage: Bacteria; Bacillati; Bacillota; Clostridia; Eubacteriales; Oscillospiraceae. The record is from RNAcentral.
UUCGGAUGAAGAUCUUGGUGACUGAGUGGCGGACGGGUGAGUAACGCGUGGGUAACCUGCCUCAUACAGGGGGACAACAGUUGGAAACGACUGCUAAUACCGCAUAAGCCCACGAUGCUGCAUGGCACAGCGGGAAAAGGAUUUAUUCGCUUCAGGAUGGACUCGCGUCCAAUUAGCUAGUUGGUGAGGUAACGGCCCACCAAGGCGACGAUUGGUAGCCGGACUGAGAGGUUGAACGGCCACAUUGGGACUGAGACACGGCCCAGACUCC